AGCUUCUGGUCUCGCUGAUUGGCGGGGUUGUGUCUCUGAGGUGAAGGGAAGAUUAGAGGGAAGGUUGGCUUGCGAAAGGAGGGGGCGGGACGGCACCAGAGGCGAAGGAAGGAGACGUGACCUGGCCCAUCAGCAAUCCUGGCUGGCCAGCCAGGCCCCAAGGAGCUGCUGUGCAGCGCGGCUGGGCCCCAUGAUCUUCACCGACCAGGGAGGCCACUAUGUGGUUUGGCUCAGCCCAGCAAUACCUGAGGGUCAGACCAAGUGAUCUCAAGAGCUGUAUACAGCCCUCGGCAUGGACAUUCCCCACCCCUGCUAUAAGUACUGUGUUCUGGGACUGGAAUUACAGCCUUCACAGUGGAAUGAUGGUCCUUGGGCCCAGAUAAACAGCUCUGGAACUGGAAUGACUAGACUUGAAUCAGUGUUAUGGGACUGGAAUUAUAGCCCCCAAAGUAGAAUAAUCUUAGAAACCAGAUAAACUGAUUUGGGACUUGAAUAACAGCUUCCAGAAUGGAAUGAUGUUCCCAGGAACAAGAUAAACUAAUCUGGGACUUGAAUGACAGCCUGCAGACUGGAACAAGUCUCUAGGAAUGGCUUAAGUAUUUUGGGGCUGGAAUAACCACCACCAGACUGGAUACAGUCCCUAGGAGUGGCAGAAGUGUUCUAGAACUGGAAUGACAGCCCUCUGGAACUGGCCGGACUUACCCUGGGACCCAAUAAACUGAUCUAAGACUUGAAUGACACCACGCCAUCACUGAAAUCAUGUUCUGGGUCCUCAAGUUCAGCUGCAAAGUCCACAUCUGUCAUCACCCCUCCCUUUCUGAUUGUUACACGUCUGUAAUUUACACAUACCAAGUAAGUCCACAGGAUAGACAUGAACAGUCUGCCAGUUGAUAGGAAUGCAGAGACUUGAAUGAUAACAUCUCCAAAACUGCAAUUGGUGUGGGGGGUUCAUGCAUCCAGUUGAUGACAAAAUCUGUCAUCCAUCCAUAGCCAUUUGGGCUAGGUACCUUUACCUGACCUUGAAAAGUGCAUGUCCAAAUUCUUGCUUGGAAGUUGGCCCUAAGUGUGCGAUCUUGGCAUGCUGGGGCAGCUAACUGGACUCCACCUCUCCAUACUUGGCACAAAAAAUGUUCAUAGUGUAGUUCAUUUACAGAAAUAGUGCAGUUAUCUGGGACAUACACUUGAUGGGUGAAUUGCUGUAACUUCUUAACUCAUAUCUUCUCUGGUUGGCUGAAUGUGUCCUGAUAGUUCUUGACUGUUCUCUGUAGUUUCAAGGAAGUUAAUUUAUGCUAGCCUGUAAAAGAACUCACAAUGUCAUAGCCAGCAAUGGCUUGUGGUCCAGUCAAGGCAAUAAACACAUUCUGUCAAAGGGAA
Heteronotia binoei (common prickly gecko) is the source of this 1374-nucleotide long non-coding RNA. RefSeq lists it as uncharacterized. NCBI's taxonomy places the organism in Eukaryota, Metazoa, Chordata, Lepidosauria, Squamata, Gekkonidae. The record is from RefSeq and is a predicted model, not a curated record. The transcript is spliced from 2 exons.